ACUAGAGGGCUUGCCUUAGUAGCGGCGAGUGAACAGGCAAAAGCUCAGAUUUGAAAGCCUCUCGGGGCAUUGUAUUCUGAAGUCAGUUUCCUGAGUGUCGAUACUUAAGUCUUCUGGAAAGGAGCGCCAUGGAGGGUGACAGCCCCGUACUGUAUCUAACUCAUUGUAGGAGUCUGACGUGGAGUCGAGUUGUUUGGGAAUGCAGCUCAAAAGGGUGGUAUGCUCCAUCUAAAGCUAAAUAUCUGUGAGAGACCGAUAGCGAACAAGUACUGUGAAGGAAAGAUGAAAAGAACUUUGAAAAGAGAGUGAAAUAGUACGUGAAAUUGUUGAAAUGGAAGGGUAGGCCGCUAACAAUGUAGAACCGUAUUCGGGGGGAAGAUAAAAUCUGUUGAAUGUGGCUCUUCGGAGUGUUAUAGCUUCAGACAAUAUUCCCACCUGGGUGCGAGGAUCUCAGGUUCUACUAAAUGGUGGUCUACCACCCGUCUUGAAACCGGGACCAAAAGUCGAUAGAUGUACGCGGUCCAGGGGGGUGGUUUAUUAAGACUGUUCAUAGUUUUUAUAGUGAAUCUUCUUGCUAGGCGGCCAUAAAAAGGAGAACCCUGACUUUUUUCUAGAAAAGUAGAGAGAAAAACGGCGGCCACCAACGUAAUAUCCCUAA
RNAcentral lists this ribosomal RNA (658 nucleotides) under Starmerella sp. Its description in RNAcentral is "LSU rRNA". The stretch from base 1 to 494 matches the Rfam family "Eukaryotic large subunit ribosomal RNA", at positions 64 to 664 of the family's 3401-position model. The record is from RNAcentral. Lineage: Eukaryota; Fungi; Ascomycota; Dipodascomycetes; Dipodascales; Trichomonascaceae.